Molecule: ribosomal RNA, 1073 nt
Filed under: Pseudomonas rhodesiae
Lineage: Bacteria; Pseudomonadati; Pseudomonadota; Gammaproteobacteria; Pseudomonadales; Pseudomonadaceae
Description: bacterial SSU rRNA
Rfam family: Bacterial small subunit ribosomal RNA
Source: RNAcentral
CGAACGCUGCCGUUCCAUGCAGUCGAGCGGUAGAGAGAAGCUUGCUUCUCUUGAGAGCGGCGGACGGGUGAGUAAUGCCUAGGAAUCUGCCUGGUAGUGGGGGAUAACGUUCGGAAACGGACGCUAAUACCGCAUACGUCCUACGGGAGAAAGCAGGGGACCUUCGGGCCUUGCGCUAUCAGAUGAGCCUAGGUCGGAUUAUCUAGUUGGUGGGGUAAUGGCUCACCAAGGCGACGAUCCGUAACUGGUCUGAGAGGAUGAUCAGUCACACUGGAACUGAGACACGGUCCAGACUCCUACGGGAGGCAGCAGUGGGGAAUAUUGGACAAUGGGCGAAAGCCUGAUCCAGCCAUGCCGCGUGUGUGAAGAAGGUCUUCGGAUUGUAAAGCACUUUAAUUUGGGAGGAAGGGCCGUUACUAAUACGUGAUGGUUUUGACGUUACCGACAGAAUAAGCACCGGCUAACUCUGUGCCAGCAGCCGCGGUAAUACAGAGGGUGCAAGCGUUAAUCGGAAUUACUGGGCGUAAAGCGCGCGUAGGUGGUUUGUUAAGUUGGAUGUGAAAUCCCCGGGCUCAACCUGGGAACUGCAUUCAAAACUGACUGACUAGAGAGGGUGGUGGAAUUUCCUGUGUAGCGGUGAAAUGCGUAAAUAUAGGAAGGAACACCAGUGGCGAAAGCGACCACCUGGACUGAUACUGACACUGAGGUGCGAAAGCCUGGGGAACAAACCGGAUUAGAUACCCUGGGUAGUCCACGCCGUAAACGAUGUUCAUAUAGCCUGUGGGGAGCCUUGAUGCUCUUAGGCUAACGCAUUAAGUAUGACCGCCCUGGGGAGUACGGGUCGCAAGGGUUAAAACUCAAAUGAAUUUGACGGGGGGCCCGCACAAGCGGUGCAUGCAUGGUGAUUAAAUUCGAUGCACGCGAAGAACCUUUACUAGCGUGGACAUGCAUGAACUUUGCUAGAGAUAGAGUAGGUGCCCUUCAGUAACACUGAGACAGUGCUGCAUGGGCCUGUCGUCAGCCUCGUGUCCGUGGAAAUGUAGGAUUAGUCCGUCACCGAGGCGCAACCGAUG